This 223-nucleotide ribosomal RNA is filed under the name Aeromonas dhakensis. RNAcentral describes it as "partial 16S ribosomal RNA". It matches the Rfam family "Bacterial small subunit ribosomal RNA", at positions 1311 to 1533 of the family's 1533-position model. Lineage: Bacteria; Pseudomonadati; Pseudomonadota; Gammaproteobacteria; Aeromonadales; Aeromonadaceae. The record is from RNAcentral.
CUCGACUCCAUGAAGUCGGAAUCGCUAGUAAUCGCAAAUCAGAAUGUUGCGGUGAAUACGUUCCCGGGCCUUGUACACACCGCCCGUCACACCAUGGGAGUGGGUUGCACCAGAAGUAGAUAGCUUAACCUUCGGGAGGGCGUUUACCACGGUGUGAUUCAUGACUGGGGUGAAGUCGUAACAAGGUAACCCUAGGGGAACCUGGGGUUGGAUCACCUCCUUA